GUCAGUGUGGCAUAAUGGUUUAAGUGUUGGACUGUGACUCUGGACAUUAGGGUUCCAAUCCCUGCUUGGCCA
Non-coding RNA from Phrynosoma platyrhinos (Desert horned lizard), 72 nucleotides. Lineage: Eukaryota; Metazoa; Chordata; Lepidosauria; Squamata; Phrynosomatidae. The record is from the annotation of a GenBank genome assembly.